RNAcentral lists this long non-coding RNA (1356 nucleotides) under Anas platyrhynchos platyrhynchos (common mallard). Its description in RNAcentral is "lncRNA (ENSAPLG00000027950.1)". Lineage: Eukaryota; Metazoa; Chordata; Aves; Anseriformes; Anatidae. The record is from RNAcentral.
UUGUUUAUUUUGGGCCCAGACGUGGAGCUAAGGUUGGGGCUGAGGAGCUGGAGCUCGGCCGCAGAGCGCUUGCUGUGUGCCUCUGCCCUGUGGGGAGCGGCGUUCAAGCUUCCCCACUGCCUCGCCGCACCACUUCCUCUUCCAGGCUCUUAUUUAAAAUAAAUUUUGGUGGUUUCAUAAGCCGUGGAUGUUGUUUUAAUGAUAGGGCUAGAGCUGGGUAGGCUCUAGGUCUGUGAGCGCUGGUGUUGCCUCAGCGCCUUUACCACAGGGUGCUGGAGGCCGCAGGCCACCACUGUCCUGGCCCUGCUGUCCUCAGACUCACACUCUGAGGGAUGGAGCUCCUGAGUGUUGAAGUGAGGUGGUUUGGGGUUGGGUUACAACACAGGAGCAUGACAAACAUAAUAAAUAGGAGAGAAAAUGCUGCCUUCCUCCUGAAGGAACCAAAGCAGACCUUUGUCAUCAUUUUCUAGCUCAUAGGGGUAAACGUAUUACUAAUUCGGGUGUAAUUACUCUUGCGUUUUCAUCUUAAAUGAGCUCAUUCUGAUCUAGCUGAAAGCAGUGACUCCCAACGUUUUCUGAGCCGCUGUUGUUUCUCCAGGCAGGUGCCAGGCCGUGUAUGGCAGCUGAGGGUGCCAGAGCUGGCCAUUAGGAGGCUGUGUGUGGAGCCAUCUCCAAAACCCACAUCCCAUGGGUUCGGUGUCCAGCUUUUUUCCAGAAGAGCACUUCAUGCUCAAGAGCUGAGUUGGUCUUUCCUGCUUAAGGGUUUGCUCCUGUGCAAGUUACUGUGCCUGUGCAAAGCUGUAGUUGGUCAGGUGGGACACUGUGGUGGGGUGCUACAAACAGGAGGAGCUAGAAUCUUUAUAACUACAGAACUUUUAGAAGAACGGACCUGCCAUACUUCCAGCUAUUUUUACUCUCCUGUUGGCUGCAGAAGAUUCAAGGCAAGAAGAUUCAAGAAGUUUGAAGGCAAGACUUAUUUUAACAUUUCUUUAUUUUUGAAUGUAGAAAAGGCUGUAUUUUACCUGCAGAUUUAGAACUGUCUGGGAGCUUUUAUUAGCCAGUUAUACGGAACGUGCCAGUGAUACAAAUGAUUUGGAGGAGGAGGUGGUAAUGCUUCUCUUAUGUUUGUCCAAGCUUUGUUUUCAGGUAAGUCCAGACUGGGAGGGAGGAAGUCAUUCCUGGUCUGGUUAAAUGUGUAUCUUCCUGCUCACGCUUUUCAGGAGGGGGGAAAAAUGUUCUGGUGUUUUGAACCUAUACAAGGGCUUGAGAACCAUUGUUUAUUCCCCGUGUUACUGAUUUUGCCUUCCUCCUUAGCAGUAGAAUAAAUUCAGGUUGACUGUGUGCCUUAUAUUAUUU